GCAGUUGCUCUAUUGUUGCAUCCUACAACCAUGAAUAGUAACUUUGUUAUAUGGAACAUGCAACUUAGAUGGCAGUCAAUAGCAAUAACAAAAAUAAUGCCAAGUCAAUCAUUGCAUAACAAAAAUUUUGGGACUAGCAUGUCUAGCCAAGGAAACAAAGUAAAAUGAAAUCCAGUGUUGUCACCAGGCGCCUGGGCACUCGCCUAGGCGCCUUGGCGAGGCAAAAUCCAAGCAUUUCGCCUAGGAAGCCUCCACGUGAGGCGACUUCAACCAAGCGCCGCCUAGGCACCUAGGC
Molecule: unclassified non-coding RNA, 295 nt
Filed under: Hevea brasiliensis (rubber tree)
Lineage: Eukaryota; Viridiplantae; Streptophyta; Magnoliopsida; Malpighiales; Euphorbiaceae
Source: RNAcentral